GACGAACGCUGGCGGCGUGCCUAAUACAUGCAAGUCGAACGCUUCUUUCCUCCCGAGUGCUUGCACUCCAUUGGAAAGAGGAGUGGCGGACGGGUGAGUAACACGUGGGUAACCUACCCAUCAGAGGGGGAUGACACUUGGAAACAGGUGCUAAUACCGCAUAACAGUUUAUGCCGCAUGGCAUAAGAGUGAAAGGCGCUUUCGGGUGUCGCUGAUGGAUGGACCCGCGGUGCAUUAGCUAGUUGGUGAGGUAACGGCUCACCAAGGCCACGAUGCAUAGCCGACCUGAGAGGGUGAUCGGCCACACUGGGACUGAGACACGGCCCAGACUCCUACGGGAGGCAGCAGUAGGGAAUCUUCGGCAAUGGACGAAAGUCUGACCGAGCAACGCCGCGUGAGUGAAGAAGGUUUUCGGAUCGUGAAACUCUGUUGUUAGAGAAGAACAAGGACGUUAGUAACUGAACGUCCCCUGACGGUAUCUAACCAGAAAGCCACGGCUAACUACGUG
This 508-nucleotide ribosomal RNA is filed under the name uncultured bacterium. Its description in RNAcentral is "partial 16S ribosomal RNA". It matches the Rfam family "Bacterial small subunit ribosomal RNA", at positions 28 to 507 of the family's 1533-position model. The record is from RNAcentral.